Molecule: ribosomal RNA, 382 nt
Filed under: uncultured Oomycota
Lineage: Eukaryota; Oomycota
Description: SSU rRNA
Rfam family: Eukaryotic small subunit ribosomal RNA
Source: RNAcentral
UGCAGUUAAAAAGCUCGUAGUUGGAUUUCUGUCUUGGACGUUCGGUCCGCUUCCUUUGGGAGUGUGUACUUAUGGAUGUUCGAGGCAUUUUUUGUGAGUCUGCCUUUCUGCCAUUAAGUUGGUGGGUUGGUGGGUUUGCAUCGUUUACUGUGAAAAAAUUAGAGUGUUUAAAGCAGGCGUUUGCUCAUUUGAAUACAUUAGCAUGGAAUAAUAAGAUAUGACUCUGGUGGUCUAUUUUGUUGGUUUGCACACCAGAGUAAUGAUUAAUAGGGACAGUUGGGGGUAUUCAUAUUUCAGCGUCAGAGGUGAAAUUCUUGGAUCGCUGGAAGAUGAGCUUAGGCGAAAAGCAUUUUACCAAGGAUGUUUUUCAUUAAUCAAGAAC